GUCGAGUGCGCGCCCGUAGCAAUACGGGUGGCGCACGGCGCACGGGUGCGUAACACGUGGGUACCUGCCCUUUGAUGGGGAAUAACCCCGCGAAAGCGGGGCUAAUUCCGCAUAAGAUCCGCAAGGAUGAAAGCCGUAAGGCGUCGAAGGAGGGGCCUGCGCACGAUUAGCUAGUUGGUAGGGUAACGGCCUACCAAGGCUUUGAUCGUUAGCUGGUCUGAGAGGAUGGCCAGCCACACUGGAACUGAGACACGGUCCAGACUCCUACGGGAGGCAGCAGUGGGGAAUCUUGCACAAUGGGCGAAAGCCUGAUGCAGCGACGCCGCGUGGGGGAUGAAGCUUCUCGGAGUGUAAACCCCUUUCGACCCGGACGAAUACCUCGCAAGAGGGGUGACGGUACGGGUAUAAGAAGCCCCGGCUAACUACGUGCCAGCAGCCGCGGUAAGACGUGGGGGGCCAGCGUUGCUCGGAAUUACUGGGUGUAAAGGGUCAGUAGGCGGUGUGGCAAGUCGGGAGUGAAAUCUCUGGGCUUAACUCAGAGACUGCUUCCGAAACUGCUGUGCUUGAGUAUGGGAGAGGCGCGUGGAAUUGCAGGUGUAGCGGUGAAAUGCGUAGAUAUCUGCAGGAACACCCGUGGCGAAAGCGGCGCGCUGGACCAUAACUGACGCUGAAUGACGAAAGCUAGGGGAGCAAACAGGAUUAGAUACCCUGGUAGUCCUAGCCCUAAACGAUCAGGACUUGGGGUGCCACCCGUUCGGGUGUCGUC
RNAcentral lists this ribosomal RNA (766 nucleotides) under uncultured delta proteobacterium. RNAcentral describes it as "bacterial SSU rRNA". It matches the Rfam family "Bacterial small subunit ribosomal RNA", at positions 61 to 845 of the family's 1533-position model. The record is from RNAcentral. Lineage: Bacteria; Deltaproteobacteria.